This 465-nucleotide ribosomal RNA is filed under the name uncultured bacterium. RNAcentral's name for it is "partial 16S ribosomal RNA". It matches the Rfam family "Bacterial small subunit ribosomal RNA", at positions 28 to 507 of the family's 1533-position model. The record is from RNAcentral.
GACGAACGCUGGCGGCGUGCUUAACACAUGCAAGUCGAACGGAAAGGCCCUGCUUGCAGGGUACUCGAGUGGCGAACGGGUGAGUAACACGUGGGUGAUCUGCCCUGCACUUCGGGAUAAGCCUGGGAAACUGGGUCUAAUACCGGAUAGGAGCCAUUUUUCGUGUGAUGGUUGGAAAGUUUUUUCGGUGUGGGAUGAGCUCGCGGCCUAUCAGCUUGUUGGUGGGGUAAUGGCCUACCAAGGCGGCGACGGGUAGCCGGCCUGAGAGGGUGGACGGCCACAUUGGGACUUGGGUACGGCCCAGACUCCUACGGGAGGCAGCAGUGGGGAAUAUUGCACAAUGGGGGCAAGCCUGAUGCAGCGACGCCGCGUGGGGGAUGACGGCCUUCGGGUUGUAAACUCCUUUCGCUAGGGACGAAGCUUUUUGUGACGGUACCUAGAGAAGAAGCACCGGCUAACUACGUG